Molecule: long non-coding RNA, 377 nt
Filed under: Elaeis guineensis (African oil palm)
Lineage: Eukaryota; Viridiplantae; Streptophyta; Magnoliopsida; Arecales; Arecaceae
Description: long non-coding RNA (EGUI_LNC045139)
Source: RNAcentral
CCAUGUCAAUCCCCGGUAUGUCCGCUGGAACCCAAGCGAAAACGUCUGCAUUCUUUCGUAGGAAAUUGAUGAGACGCAUCCACACCUCCUCCCCCAGGUUGGAGUCGAUCAUCACUACAUGCUCCGUGUUCCCGUCGUUCAAAGGGAUCGGUACCAGAUCUUCAAUUGGAACGCCCCUCUCUUCAGUGAGGUCAUCGCGAGCAUCCAGUCCAUCGACUGGACAGGGGUCAGAUUGGUCGCUUCUUUGUAGGGCUAUGUUGUAACAGUGUCUGGCCAAGGCUUGGUCUCCUCAGACCUUUCCGAUCCCCUGGUUGGUGGGGAAUUUCAACUUCAAAUGGUAGGUUGAUACGAUGGCUCGGAGAGCAUUGAGGCCAGGU